UACGUAGGGCGCAAGCGUUGUCCGGAAUUAUUGGGCGUAAAGAGCUCGUAGGCGGUCUGUCGCGUCCGUUGUGAAAACUCGAGGCUCAACCUCGGGCUUGCAGUGGAUACGGGCAGACUAGAGUGCGGUAGGGGAGACUGGAAUCCUGGUGUAGCGGUGGAAUGCGCAGAUAUCAGGAGGAACACCGGUGGCGAAGGCGGCUCACUGGCCCGGUACUGACGCUGAGGUGCGAAAGCGUGGGGAGCAAACAGGACU
Molecule: ribosomal RNA, 255 nt
Filed under: uncultured bacterium
Lineage: Bacteria
Description: partial 16S ribosomal RNA
Rfam family: Bacterial small subunit ribosomal RNA
Source: RNAcentral